RNAcentral lists this ribosomal RNA (484 nucleotides) under uncultured bacterium. RNAcentral's name for it is "partial 16S ribosomal RNA". It matches the Rfam family "Bacterial small subunit ribosomal RNA", at positions 30 to 507 of the family's 1533-position model. The record is from RNAcentral.
AUUGAACGCUGGCGGCAGGCCUAACACAUGCAAGUCGAGCGGAUGAAGGGAGCUUGCUCCUGGAUUCAGCGGCGGACGGGUGAGUAAUGCCUAGGAAUCUGCCUGGUAGUGGGGGAUAACGUCCGGAAACGGGCGCUAAUACCGCAUACGUCCUGAGGGAGAAAGUGGGGGAUCUUCGGACCUCACGCUAUCAGAUGAGCCUAGGUCGGAUUAGCUAGUUGGUGGGGUAAAGGCCUACCAAGGCGACGAUCCGUAACUGGUCUGAGAGGAUGAUCAGUCACACUGGAACUGAGACACGGUCCAGGCUCCUACGGUAGGCAGCAGUGGGGAAUAUUGGACAAUGGGCGAAAGCCUGAUCCAGCCAUGCCGCGUGUGUGAAGAAGGUCUUCGGAUUGUAAAGCACUUUAAGUUGGGAGGAAGGGCAGUAAGUUAAUACCUUGCUGUUUUGACGUUACCAACAGAAUAAGCACCGGCUAACUUCGUG